CUUGGUCAUUUAGAGGAAGUAAAAGUCGUAACAAGGUUUCCGUAGGUGAACCUGCGGAAGGAUCAUUAGUGAACGCCCUCACGGGCUUAUAACUAUUCCAAACCUCUGUGAACCGUGCCCUUCGGGGCUAUUUUACAAACAUGGUGUAAUGAACGUCAUAUAUCAUAACAAAACAAAACUUUCAACAACGGAUCUCUUGGCUCUCGCAUCGAUGAAGAACGCAGCGAAAUGCGAUAAGUAAUGUGAAUUGCAGAAUUCAGUGAAUCAUCGAAUCUUUGAACGCACCUUGCGCCCUCUGGUAUUCCGGAGGGCAUGCCUGUUUGAGUGUCAUGUAGACUCAAUCCCUCGGGUUUCCGAGGAGAUUGGACUUGGGUGUUGCCGCUCUGCCGGCUCGCCUUAAAAGACUUAGCGGGAUAGCACAGUAGUCGGCGUAAUAAGUUUCGUCGGUGAAGGUUGUGAUGACUGCUUACAAUCGCCCUCGGGCAAUUUUUGACUCUGACCUCAAGUCAGGUAGGACUACCCGCUGAACUUAAGCAUAUCAAUAAGCGGAGGA
This 553-nucleotide ribosomal RNA is filed under the name uncultured Cryptococcus. RNAcentral's name for it is "eukaryotic LSU rRNA". The stretch from base 177 to 330 matches the Rfam family "5.8S ribosomal RNA". Lineage: Eukaryota; Fungi; Basidiomycota; Tremellomycetes. The record is from RNAcentral.